This 181-nucleotide small nuclear RNA is filed under the name Cavia porcellus (domestic guinea pig). RNAcentral describes it as "U2 spliceosomal RNA". The record is from Rfam by way of RNAcentral. Lineage: Eukaryota; Metazoa; Chordata; Mammalia; Rodentia; Caviidae.
AUUGCUUCUCAGCCUUUUGGCUAAGAUCAAGUGUAGUAUAGCCCCACUGAUGAUGAAGCAGUGUUUCUUUCUCCCCACAGCUUCAUCAGUAUUUUUUAUUGGCUAAUUUGUUGAUGGCAGCCAAUUUUUCUGGAUUAAAAUAAAAUCUAAGUAUUGGUUUAAUUUGCAUUUUUGAAUGGCC